AUCUAUCGUACCUAGAAAAUUUGAUAAGGACAGGAAGUUCACAACAGAGAGAAUGGGCAGACAGCUUUCAGCUUUGGGGCUGGAUCCCUCUCUGGCAAUUAAUCGUGCCCGGGGCAGGUCACUCUCUAGGAGGGGCCGCAAAAGAGAGAGGUCGCUUGACAGAGGAGAUAAUGAUGCUGGUGAUGCUAUGGAUAUGGAUGUUGACCAACAAAAUAAGAAGCUGCGAAU
This 228-nucleotide unclassified non-coding RNA is filed under the name Hevea brasiliensis (rubber tree). The record is from RNAcentral. Lineage: Eukaryota; Viridiplantae; Streptophyta; Magnoliopsida; Malpighiales; Euphorbiaceae.